This 253-nucleotide ribosomal RNA is filed under the name uncultured bacterium. RNAcentral describes it as "partial 16S ribosomal RNA". It matches the Rfam family "Bacterial small subunit ribosomal RNA", at positions 524 to 776 of the family's 1533-position model. The record is from RNAcentral.
UACGGAGGAGGCAAGCGUUAUCCGGAAUUAUUGGGCGUAAAGCGUCCGUAGGUGGCACUUCAAGUCUGUCGUCAAAGACUGGGGCUUAACCCUGGAAAGGCGGUGGAAACUGAAGCGCUAGAGUGCGGUAGGGGUAGAGGGAAUUCCCGGUGUAGCGGUGAAAUGCGUAGAGAUCGGGAAGAACAUCGGUGGCGAAAGCGGCGAGCUGGAUCACUACUGACGCUGAAGAACGAAAGCUAGGGGAGCAAACGGG